CAGCAUCAGGUGGAGGAGUGGCUUUUGGUAUAAAAGGCCAGCAGGUGACAGCAGUGUCAGAGGAUCCACAUCCAGAACACAGGGGAUCGAUUGGUGUGGAUUCAGCAUUUUCAGAAGAGCUCCAGUUUUAAAAUGAAUCGGUGUCGAGGAGGAGGACGCGGCGGCCAUGGACAUGGUGGACAUGGUCAUGGACAGCGUGGAGGACACGGACAUAGAGGGCGUGGGCAUUCGCACGGCGGUUGCCAUGGAGUUCAGGGUCACUGUCACGGACCCAAGCGGAGGCGCAGGCACAGGCGUGGCCACAAACAUCGGAAAUGCCACAAGAAGGGGCGGGAUGGUCGUGGGUCUGACAGCAGCUCCUGCAGCAGCAGCAGCAGCAGCAGCAGCAGCGACUCCGACUAGACGGACAUGGAGAUCACACCAGACACCCCCCGGAGACCGUCCUCAUCAAACCUCACGAAAUAUCUAGUUUCUUUGACUGCAUCCAUAAGGACUGCUUUUGAACGCAAAAUGUAUUUUUUAAAGGUGAACAGCCAGUUUUUGUGAACAUGUGAAACAUGUCAUGAUUUCGGGCUGAGAGUUACUUUCUGAGUAAUAAAACUCAUAAUAUGAACACAAAAGUG
Long non-coding RNA from Salarias fasciatus (jewelled blenny), 623 nucleotides. RefSeq lists it as uncharacterized. The transcript is spliced from 4 exons. Lineage: Eukaryota; Metazoa; Chordata; Actinopteri; Blenniiformes; Blenniidae. The record is from RefSeq and is a predicted model, not a curated record.